UACGAAUGUCAGUGAAGGGUUACAGCCAAGUGUUAAUUCGGUUUAUAGCAAAAGGAUGCCUACUUCUUUCUGCAGUCAUGUUUGUACAUAUGGCUCUGCCUCGUGACAAUUUAUCCAAGUUGGGCCAAGACUAUCAAACUCAACCAAGACAGGUAUAUAACAUUCUUCUAAUGAUUUCAAGAUCAGCAAACUUAUUCUUAAUGCAGGGUUUCUGUGGCCAAAACAGGGCAUGAGGAAUUCUGCUGCACCCUCUCCCUUUCCUGCCAAGGCUCUUCCACAGAAGCGUCUGAGCACAAUUGGAAAAUGACUGCAUCUUGCCAGGC
Long non-coding RNA from Onychomys torridus (southern grasshopper mouse), 323 nucleotides. RefSeq lists it as uncharacterized. The transcript is spliced from 3 exons. NCBI's taxonomy places the organism in Eukaryota, Metazoa, Chordata, Mammalia, Rodentia, Cricetidae. The record is from RefSeq and is a predicted model, not a curated record.